UACGGGGGGGGCAAGCGUUGUUCGGAAUUACUGGGCGUAAAGGGUGCGUAGGCGGUCCGCUAAGUUGGAUGUGAAAACUCUGGGCUUAACCCAGAGCCUGCAUUCAAAACUGACGGGCUAGAGUUCUGGAGGGGGUAGCGGAAUUCCUGGUGUAGCGGUGAAAUGCGUAGAUAUCAGGAGGAACACCGGUGGCGAAGGCGGCGACCUGGGUCGAGACUGACGCUGAGGCGCGAAAGCGUGGGGAGCAAACAGG
This 253-nucleotide ribosomal RNA is filed under the name uncultured bacterium. Its description in RNAcentral is "partial 16S ribosomal RNA". It matches the Rfam family "Bacterial small subunit ribosomal RNA", at positions 524 to 776 of the family's 1533-position model. The record is from RNAcentral.